Molecule: ribosomal RNA, 1159 nt
Filed under: uncultured organism
Description: bacterial SSU rRNA
Rfam family: Bacterial small subunit ribosomal RNA
Source: RNAcentral
AGUGGCGAACGGGUGAGUAAUACUUUGCUAACGUACCCCGAAGGUCGGGGAUAGCGGCUGGAAACGGCCGGUAAUACCCGAUGACCCCCGCGGGUCGCAUGGACUGCGGGGCAAAGGCUUGCUGCCUUGGGAUCGGGCAAAGCGCUAUCAGCUUGUUGGUGAGGUAACGGCUCACCAAGGCAAAGACGGUUAGCGGGUGUGAGAGCAUGACCCGCCGCAUCGGGACUGAGACACUGCCCGGACUCCUACGGGAGGCUGCAGUAACGAAUCUUCCGCAAUGCGCGAAAGCGUGACGGAGCAAUGCCGCGUGAAGGAUGAAGCCCCUCGGGGUGUAAACUUCUGUCAGGGUUUAGGAAUUCUGACCAAACCCAAAGGAAGGACCGGCUAACUUCGUGCCAGCAGCCGCGGUAAGACGAAGGGUCCAAGCGUUAAUCGGAAUCACUGGGCUUAAAGCGUGCGCAGGCGGGCCUGUAAGUACCUUGUGAAAUACCACCGCUCAACGGUGGAAUGGCAGGGUAUACUGCAGGCCUUGAGGCCGGUAGAGGUUGCCGGAACUGUAGGUGUAGCGGUGAAAUGCGUAGAUAUCUACAGGAACACCAAAGACGAAGGUAGGCAACUGGGCCGGUUCUGACGCUCAGGCACGAAAGCGUGGGGAGCAAACAGGAUUAGAUACCCUGGUAGUCCACGCCGUAAACGAUGUGCACUAGAUUCGAGAGGCUCUGACGCCAUUCGGGUCGAAGCAAAAGUGUUAAGUGCACCGCCUGGGGAGUACGGUCGCAAGGCUACAACUCAAAGGAAUUGACGGGGGCUCACACAAGCGGUGGAGCAUGUGGCUUAAUUCGAAGCAACGCGAAGAACCUUAUCCUGGGUUUGACAUGCACGGAUACCCUCGCCGAAAGGCGAGUAAGUUGCCCAUUCGGGUGAAACGUGCACAGGUGCUGCAUGGCUGUCGUCAGCUCGUGCUGUGAAGUGUUGGGUUAAGUCCCUUAACGAGCGAAACCCGUGUCGCUAGUUGCUAACAGGUCUCCGGACGCUGAGGACUCUAGCGAGACUGCCGGUGUCAAACCGGAGGAAGGCGGGGAUGACGUCAAGUCCUCAUGGCCUUUAUGCCCAGGGCUGCACACGUGCUACAAUGGCGUGAACAGAGCGACGCAAUACC